CAGCAGCAGCCGCGGUAAUACAGAGGGUGCGAGCGUUAAUCGGAUUUACUGGGCGUAAAGCGUGCGUAGGCGGCUUUUUAAGUCGGAUGUGAAAUCCCUGAGCUUAACUUAGGAAUUGCAUUCGAUACUGGGAAGCUAGAGUAUGGGAGAGGAUGGUAGAAUUCCAGGUGUAGCGGUGAAAUGCGUAGAGAUCUGGAGGAAUACCGAUGGCGAAGGCAGCCAUCUGGCCUAAUACUGACGCUGAGGUACGAAAGCAUGGGGAGCAAACAGGAUUAGAUACCCCGGUAGUCCCUGUCUCUUAUAA
Molecule: ribosomal RNA, 304 nt
Filed under: uncultured bacterium
Lineage: Bacteria
Description: partial 16S ribosomal RNA
Rfam family: Bacterial small subunit ribosomal RNA
Source: RNAcentral